Molecule: unclassified non-coding RNA, 315 nt
Filed under: fungal sp.
Lineage: Eukaryota; Fungi
Description: partial internal transcribed spacer region
Rfam family: Eukaryotic small subunit ribosomal RNA (bases 1-46)
Source: RNAcentral
AAGUCGUAACAAGGUUUCCGUAGGUGAACCUGCGGAAGGAUCAUUAACACUUUUGAAUCCUGAACUUGUUCUCCCAAAUUCACUUGGGCAGAACUCGUUCUUAACCCCACAAUUUGCGAACGAUGAUUUAUAUCGCGGAUAAUUAUAUUAUCUCCGAUAUAUUUCCCCCUUUUUUCUCUUUUUUUAUUCCCCAUUUAUUUUUACCCCAAAUUAUCCAUUCGACUGAUAUGAACUUUAUCUUUUUCUUUAAAACGAAAAGAUAAAACGAUUAAAAAAUGGUUAAAACAACUCUUAGCAACGGAUAUCUUGGCUCUC